This 413-nucleotide ribosomal RNA is filed under the name uncultured bacterium. RNAcentral describes it as "bacterial SSU rRNA". It matches the Rfam family "Bacterial small subunit ribosomal RNA", at positions 505 to 916 of the family's 1533-position model. The record is from RNAcentral.
GUGCCAGCAGCCGCGGUAAGACAGAGGAUGCGAACGUUGCUCGGAAUUACUGGGCGUAAAGCGCGCGCAGGUUGCCUUGUAAGUCGUGUGUGAAAUCCCUCUGCUCAACGGAGGAAGUGCACGGGAUACUGCAAGGCUGGAGUACAGAAGAGGACAGCGGAAUUCCCGGUGUAGAGGUGAAAUUCGUAGAUAUCGGGAGGAACACCAGUGGCGAAGGCGGCUGUCUGGGCUGAUACUGACACUGAGGCGCGAAAGCGUGGGAAGCAAACAGGAUUAGAUACCCUGGUAGUCCACGCUGUAAACGAUGACGACUGGGUGUUGCGGGUAUUGACCCCCGCGGUGCCGAAGCCAACGCGUUAAGUCGUCCGCCUGGGAAGUACGGCCGCAAGGUUAAAACUCAAAGGAAUUGACGG